GAUGAACGCUGGCGGCGUGCCUAAUACAUGCAAGUCGAGCGAACAGACGAGGAGCUUGCUCCUCUGACGUUAGCGGCGGACGGGUGAGUAACACGUGGAUAACCUACCUAUAAGACUGGGAUAACUUCGGGAAACCGGAGCUAAUACCGGAUAAUAUAUUGAACCGCAUGGUUCAAUAGUGAAAGACGGUUUUGCUGUCACUUAUAGAUGGAUCCGCGCCGCAUUAGCUAGUUGGUAAGGUAACGGCUUACCAAGGCAACGAUGCGUAGCCGACCUGAGAGGGUGAUCGGCCACACUGGAACUGAGACACGGUCCAGACUCCUACGGGAGGCAGCAGUAGGGAAUCUUCCGCAAUGGGCGAAAGCCUGACCGAGCAACGCCGCGUGAGUGAUGAAGGUCUUCGGAUCGUAAAACUCUGUUAUUAGGGAAGAACAAAUGUGUAAGUAACUAUGCACGUCUUGACGGUACCUAAUCAGAAAGCCACGGCUAACUACGUG
This 497-nucleotide ribosomal RNA is filed under the name uncultured bacterium. RNAcentral describes it as "partial 16S ribosomal RNA". It matches the Rfam family "Bacterial small subunit ribosomal RNA", at positions 28 to 507 of the family's 1533-position model. The record is from RNAcentral.